Molecule: ribosomal RNA, 1389 nt
Filed under: uncultured bacterium
Lineage: Bacteria
Description: bacterial SSU rRNA
Rfam family: Bacterial small subunit ribosomal RNA
Source: RNAcentral
GGCGUGCUUAACACAUGCAAGUCGAACCUUUAGGCCCUUCGGGGUACUCGAGUGGCGAACGGGUGAGUAACACGUGGGUGAUCUGCCCUGCACUCUGGGAUAAGCCUGGGAAACUGGGUCUAAUACCGGAUAGGACCACACACUUCAUGGUGAGUGGUGCAAAGCUUUUGCGGUGUGGGAUGAGCCCGCGGCCUAUCAGCUUGUUGGUGGGGUAAUGGCCCACCAAGGCGACGACGGGUAGCCGGCCUGAGAGGGUGACCGGCCACACUGGGACUGAGAUACGGCCCAGACUCCUACGGGAGGCAGCAGUGGGGAAUAUUGCACAAUGGGCGCAAGCCUGAUGCAGCGACGCCGCGUGAGGGAUGACGGCCUUCGGGUUGUAAACCUCUUUCAGUAGGGACGAAGCGAAAGUGACGGUACCUACAGAAGAAGGACCGGCCAACUACGUGCCAGCAGCCGCGGUAAUACGUAGGGUCCGAGCGUUGUCCGGAAUUACUGGGCGUAAAGAGCUCGUAGGUGGUUUGUCGCGUUGUUCGUGAAAACUCACAGCUUAACUGUGGGCGUGCGGGCGAUACGGGCAGACUAGAGUACUGCAGGGGAGACUGGAAUUCCUGGUGUAGCGGUGGAAUGCGCAGAUAUCAGGAGGAACACCGGUGGCGAAGGCGGGUCUCUGGGCAGUAACUGACGCUGAGGAGCGAAAGCGUGGGUAGCGAACAGGAUUAGAUACCCUGGUAGUCCACGCCGUAAACGGUGGGUACUAGGUGUGGGUUUCCUUCCUUGGGAUCCGUGCCGUAGCUAACGCAUUAAGUACCCCGCCUGGGGAGUACGGUCGCAAGACUAAAACUCAAAGGAAUUGACGGGGGCCCGCACAAGCGGCGGAGCAUGUGGAUUAAUUCGAUGCAACGCGAAGAACCUUACCUGGGUUUGACAUGCACAGGACGUACCUAGAGAUAGGUAUUCCCUUGUGGCCUGUGUGCAGGUGGUGCAUGGCUGUCGUCAGCUCGUGUCGUGAGAUGUUGGGUUAAGUCCCGCAACGAGCGCAACCCUUGUCCUAUGUUGCCAGCGGGUAAUGCCGGGGACUCGUAGGAGACUGCCGGGGUCAACUCGGAGGAAGGUGGGGAUGACGUCAAGUCAUCAUGCCCCUUAUGUCCAGGGCUUCACACAUGCUACAAUGGCCAGUACAGAGGGCUGCGAAGCCGCAAGGUGGAGCGAAUCCCUUAAAGCUGGUCUCAGUUCGGAUUGGGGUCUGCAACUCGACCCCAUGAAGUCGGAGUCGCUAGUAAUCGCAGAUCAGCAACGCUGCGGUGAAUACGUUCCCGGGAGUUGUACACACCGCCCGUCACGUCAUGAAAGUCGGUAACACCCGAAGCCAGUGGCCUAACCUUUUGG